RNAcentral lists this transfer RNA (96 nucleotides) under Lentinula edodes (shiitake mushroom). RNAcentral's name for it is "tRNA-Leu". It matches the Rfam family "tRNA". Rfam says of the family: Transfer RNA (tRNA) molecules are approximately 80 nucleotides in length. Lineage: Eukaryota; Fungi; Basidiomycota; Agaricomycetes; Agaricales; Omphalotaceae. The record is from RNAcentral.
GCCUCAAUAGCUUAGUGGUAGAGCACUUGAUACAAAUGCCUCUUGCCGGACCUCGAAUAUUAUCAACAGGCCAGGGUUCGAAUCCCUGUUGAGGCU